Molecule: non-coding RNA, 27 nt
Filed under: Homo sapiens (human)
Lineage: Eukaryota; Metazoa; Chordata; Mammalia; Primates; Hominidae
Source: RNAcentral
UGGGGAAACGAAGGUCUAGUUUGCAGG